GACGAACGCUGGCGGCGUGCUUAACACAUGCAAGUCGAACGAAGAGCGAUGGAAGCUUGCUUCUAUCAAUCUUAGUGGCGAACGGGUGAGUAACGCGUAAUCAACCUGCCCUUCAGAGGGGGACAACAGUUGGAAACGACUGCCAAUACCGCAUACGAUCUAAUCUCGGCAUCGAGGAUAGAUGAAAGGUGGCCUCUACAUGUAAGCUAUCACUGAAGGAGGGGAUUGCGUCUGAUUAGCUAGUUGGAGGGGUAACGGCCCACCAAGGCGAUGAUCAGUAGCCGGUCUGAGAGGAUGAACGGCCACAUUGGGACUGAGACACGGCCCAGACUCCUACGGGAGGCAGCAGUGGGGAAUCUUCCGCAAUGGACGAAAGUCUGACGGAGCAACGCCGCGUGAGUGAUGAUGGCCUUCGGGUUGUAAAGCUCUGUUAAUCGGGACGAAAGGCCUUCUUGCGA
Molecule: ribosomal RNA, 458 nt
Filed under: Veillonella parvula
Lineage: Bacteria; Bacillati; Bacillota; Negativicutes; Veillonellales; Veillonellaceae
Description: bacterial SSU rRNA
Rfam family: Bacterial small subunit ribosomal RNA
Source: RNAcentral